ACUCUCGUGAGAGUAGCUGAAGGUACUAUACGAAUAAGCACCCGGCUAACUCCGUGCCAGCAGCCGCGGUAAUACGGAGGGUGCAAGCGUUWUCCGGAUUUAUUGGGUUUAAAGGGUCCGUAGGCGGAUCUGUAAGUCAGUGGUGAAAUCUCACAGCUUAACUGUGAAACUGCCAUUGAUACUGCAGGUCUUGAGUGUUAUUGAAGUAGCUGGAAUAAGUAGUGUAGCGGUGAAAUGCAUAGAUAUUACUUAGAACACCAAUUGCGAAGGCAGGUUACUAAGCAACAACUGACGCUGAUGGACGAAAGCGUGGGGAGCGAACAGGAUUAGAUACCCUGGUAGUCCACGCCGUAAACGAUGCUAACUCGUUUUUGGUAUUUCGGUAUCAGAGACUAAGCGAAAGUGAUAAGUUAGCCACCUGGGGAGUACGUUCGCAAGAAUGAAACUCAAAGGAAUUGACGGGGGCCCGCACAAGCGGUGGAUUAUGUGGUUUAAUUCGAUGAUACGCGAGGAACCUUACCAAGGCUUAAAUGGGAAAUGACAGGUUUAGAAAUAGACUUUUCUUCGGACAUUUUUCAAGGUGCUGCAUGGUUGUCGUCAGCUCGUGCCGUGAGGUGUUAGGUUAAGUCCUGCAACGAGCGCAACCCCUGUCACUAGUUGCCAUCAUUAAGUUGGGGACUCUAGUGAGACUGCCUACGCAAGUAGAGAGGAAGGUGGGGAUGACGUCAAAUCAUCACGGCCCUUACGCCUUGGGCCACACACGUAAUACAAUGGCCGGUACAGAGGGCAGCUACACAGCGAUGUGAUGCAAAUCUCGAAAGCCGGUCUCAGUUCGGAUUGGAGUCUGCAACUCGACUCUAUGAAGCUGGAAUCGCUAGUAAUCGCGCAUCARCCAUGGCGCGGUGAAUACGUUCCCGGGCCUUGUMCACACCGCCCGUCAAGCCAUGGAAGUCUGGGGUACCUGAAGUCGGUGACCGUAACAGGAGCUGCCU
RNAcentral lists this ribosomal RNA (992 nucleotides) under Chryseobacterium indologenes. RNAcentral's name for it is "bacterial SSU rRNA". It matches the Rfam family "Bacterial small subunit ribosomal RNA", at positions 454 to 1458 of the family's 1533-position model. Lineage: Bacteria; Pseudomonadati; Bacteroidota; Flavobacteriia; Flavobacteriales; Weeksellaceae. The record is from RNAcentral.